UGAGGAACAUGACCUUCGGCGGGGGAUAGCCGGCCCAACGGCCGGGUAAUACCGCGUACGACCACAUGGGGACAUCCCUGAGUGGUGAAAGCAGCAAUGCGCCGAUGGAGUGCCUCGCGGCCUAUCAGCUAGUUGGUGAGGUAACGGCUCACCAAGGCAACGACGGGUAGCUGGUCUGAGAGGAUGGCCAGCCCACAGUUGGGGACUGAGACACCGGCCCAGACCUGUACCGGGGAGG
RNAcentral lists this ribosomal RNA (238 nucleotides) under uncultured bacterium. Its description in RNAcentral is "partial 16S ribosomal RNA". It matches the Rfam family "Bacterial small subunit ribosomal RNA", at positions 118 to 347 of the family's 1533-position model. The record is from RNAcentral.